AAGAUUUUGAUUUGGAAUUGUCAUGGAAUGGGGAAUGCCCCGACGGUUCAUGCGUUGCUGGAUGUCCAGCAAAAAUGCCAUCCCGAUGUGUUGUUUUUGUCGGAGACACACCUAGAUAGCUAUCCAGCUGAGUGUUUGAGGAGGAGAUUGAAGAUGGAUGAAAAACUCAUGUGCCCUAGUGAUGGUAGGAAGGGAGGCUUAUUGCUGCUCUAG
RNAcentral lists this ribosomal RNA (213 nucleotides) under Triticum aestivum (bread wheat). RNAcentral's name for it is "partial small subunit ribosomal RNA". The record is from RNAcentral. Lineage: Eukaryota; Viridiplantae; Streptophyta; Magnoliopsida; Poales; Poaceae.